RNAcentral lists this ribosomal RNA (268 nucleotides) under uncultured bacterium. Its description in RNAcentral is "partial 16S ribosomal RNA". It matches the Rfam family "Bacterial small subunit ribosomal RNA", at positions 57 to 305 of the family's 1533-position model. The record is from RNAcentral.
GCAAGUCGAACGCAUUUUCUUUCACCGUAGCUUGCUACACCGAAAGAAAAUGAGUGGCGAACGGGUGAGUAACACGUGGGUAACCUGCCCAUCAGCGGGGGAUAACACUUGCAAACAGGUGCUAAUACCGCAUAAUUCCUUUUACUGCAUGGUAGAUGGAUGAAAGGCGCUGUUGCGUUACUGAUGGAUGGACCCGCGGUGCAUUAGCUAGUUGGUGGGGUAACGGCCUACCAAGGCGGCGAUGCAUAGCCGACCUGAGAGGGUGAGC